GACGAACGCUGGCGGCGUGCUUAACACAUGCAAGUCGAACGGAAAGGCCUGCUUUCCCUUGUGGAUUGCGGGUACUCGAGUGGCGAACGGGUGAGUAACACGUGAGUGAUCUGCCCCCAACUUGGGUAUAAGCCUGGGAAACUGGGUCUAAUUCCCGAUAGGACUGCAGGGUGGUGCCUGUGGUGGAAAACGAUUUUCUAGUGGUUGGGGAUGAGCUCGCGGCCUAUCAGCUUGUUGGUGGGGUAAUGGCCUACCAAGGCGGCGACGGGUAGCCGGCCUGGGAGGGUGGACGGCCACAUUGGGACUGAGAUACGGCCCAGGCUCCUACGGGAGGCAGCAGUGGGGAAUAUUGCGCAAUGGGCGGAAGCCUGAUGCAGCGACGCCGCGUGGGGGAUGACGGCCUUCGGGUUGUAAACUCCUUUCGACCGCGAGGAAGCCACCUGGUUGGAAGGGUGGUGACGGUAGUGGUAGAAGAAGCACCGGCUAACUACGUG
This 494-nucleotide ribosomal RNA is filed under the name uncultured bacterium. Its description in RNAcentral is "partial 16S ribosomal RNA". It matches the Rfam family "Bacterial small subunit ribosomal RNA", at positions 28 to 507 of the family's 1533-position model. The record is from RNAcentral.